This is a long non-coding RNA of Dreissena polymorpha, 221 nucleotides long. RefSeq lists it as uncharacterized. The record is from RefSeq and is a predicted model, not a curated record. The transcript has 2 exons. Lineage: Eukaryota; Metazoa; Mollusca; Bivalvia; Myida; Dreissenidae.
CUUGGGCAGACUUAACACGCUUUCGUGGGUAAAACACUUUAGGCACAUGCAUUAAGCCCUGUUUUCCCAGAGUGCAGCUGAAAUACUUCCUGUUUUUGUUGCUGCUGCUGCUGCGACAGGGCCAUAGACAGAGAUUGUGUGAGUCUUGACGCCAAAGUCACCGCCCUGAACAGGGAAUGUAGGCCAACACUGCUCCUCAGGCACAAUAUUAGAGAGCAACA